GAUGAACGCUGGCGGCGUGCCUAAUACAUGCAAGUCGAGCGAACAGACGAGGAGCUUGCUCCUCUGACGUUAGCGGCGGACGGGUGAGUAACACGUGGAUAACCUACCUAUAAGACUGGGAUAACUUCGGGAAACCGGAGCUAAUACCGGAUAACAUGUUGAACCGCAUGGUUCAACAGUGAAAGACGGUCUUGCUGUCACUUAUAGAUGGAUCCGCGCCGCAUUAGCUAGUUGGUAAGGUAACGGCUUACCAAGGCAACGAUGCGUAGCCGACCUGAGAGGGGGAUCGGCAAAACGGGACCUGAGAACCGUUCCAGACUCCAAGGGGGGGCAGAAGGGGGAAAUUUUCCGAAAGGGGCGAAAGCCGGACGGGGCAACGCCGGGGGGGGAAAAAAGGUUUUCGGAUUGAAAAACCUUUUUAUUGGGAAAAAAAAAAUGUGUAAAAAACUAUGCCGGUUUGAACGGACCCAAAUAAAAAAGCCCCGGUAAACUAGGG
Molecule: ribosomal RNA, 496 nt
Filed under: uncultured bacterium
Lineage: Bacteria
Description: partial 16S ribosomal RNA
Rfam family: Bacterial small subunit ribosomal RNA
Source: RNAcentral